RNAcentral lists this ribosomal RNA (468 nucleotides) under uncultured bacterium. RNAcentral's name for it is "partial 16S ribosomal RNA". It matches the Rfam family "Bacterial small subunit ribosomal RNA", at positions 28 to 507 of the family's 1533-position model. The record is from RNAcentral.
GACGAACGCUGGCGGCGUGCUUAACACAUGCAAGUCGAACGGAAAGGCCCUGCUUUUGUGGGGUGCUCGAGUGGCGAACGGGUGAGUAACACGUGAGUAACCUGCCCUUGACUUUGGGAUAACUUCAGGAAACUGGGGCUAAUACCGGAUAGGAGCUCCUGCUGCAUGGUGGGGGUUGGAAAGUUUCGGCGGUUGGGGAUGGACUCGCGGCUUAUGAGCUUGUUGGUGGGGUAGUGGCUCACCAAGGCUUUGACGGGUGGCCGGCCUGAGAGGGUGACCGGCCACAUUGGGACUGGGAUGCGGCCCAGACUCCUACGGGAGGCAGCAGUGGGGGAUAUUGCACGAUGGGCGGAAGCCUGAUGCAGCAACGCCGCGUGCGAGAUGACGGCCUUCGGGUUGUAAACCGCUUUCGCCUGUGACGAAGCGUGAGUGACGGUAAUGGGUAAAGAAGCACCGGCUAACUACGUG